This 2078-nucleotide ribosomal RNA is filed under the name human gut metagenome. RNAcentral's name for it is "bacterial LSU rRNA". It matches the Rfam family "Bacterial large subunit ribosomal RNA", at positions 819 to 2925 of the family's 2925-position model. The record is from RNAcentral.
GGAGAAAUUCCAAUCGAACCCGGAGAUAGCUGGUUCUCCUCGAAAUAGCUUUAGGGCUAGCCUCAUGAGAGUCUUUUGGAGGUAGAGCACUGAAUUCCCGCGGGGGCGUCAAAGCUUACCAAAGGAUAUCAAACUCCGAAUGCCAGUAAGAUGAUUCAUGGGAGUCAGACUACACGAGAUAAGUUGGGUAGUCAAAAGGGAAAGAGCCCAGACCUGCAGCUAAGGUCCCAAAAUGUGUGUUAAGUGGAAAAGGAUGUGGGAUUUCAAAGACAACCAGGAUGUUGGCUUAGAAGCAGCCAUACAUUAAAAGAGUGCGUAAUAGCUCACUGGUCGAGAGGUCCUGCGCCGAAAAUGUCCGGGGCUGAAACACACUACCGAAGCUCAGGAAUUAACGUAGUUAAUUGGUAGAGGAGCAUUCUUAAAGGGAAGAAGCAGUACCGGAAGGAGCUGUGGACUUUUAAGAAGAGAGAAUGCCGGAAUGAGUAGCGAGAGGAAGGUGAGAAUCCUUCCGGCCGAAUAUCCAAGGUUUCCAGAGUAAAGCUGAUCUGCUCUGGGUAAGUCGGGGCCUAAGGCGAGGUCGAAAGACGUAGUCGAUGGAUAACAGGUGGAGAUUCCUGUACUAUGUGUACCCAGAACUGUGGGGACGCAUGUGGAGAGCACGAGCCGGGAAAGAGAAGACCGGUACAAGCGGGGUAGGAGUAAGGACAGCAAAUCUUCCUUACAAUCCGAAGACGUAAUGUGGACCGAACCAAAGUAGGGAAGCGUGUGAGCCAUGUGCCAAGAAAAGCCGCUAUUGUGAUACACAUACCCGUACCGUAAACCGACACAGGUGGAUGAGGAGAGAAUCCUAAGGCCGACGGAAGAAGCAUUGUUAAGGAACUCGGCAAAAUGACCCCGUAACUUCGGGAGAAGGGGUGCCCUGUGAAAGCAGGGCCGCAGAGAAUAGGCUCAAGCAACUGUUUAGCAAAAACACAGGUCUAUGCGAAACCGAAAGGUGAGGUAUAUGGGCUGACGCCUGCCCGGUGCUGGAAGGUUAAGAGGAGAGGUUAGCGCAAGCGAAGCUUUGAAUUUAAGCCCCAGUAAACGGCGGCCGUAACUAUAACGGUCCUAAGGUAGCGAAAUUCCUUGUCGGGUAAGUUCCGACCCGCACGAAAGGCGUAAUGAUUUGAGCACUGUCUCGACAAUGCAUCCGGUGAAAUUGAAGUACCAGUGAAGAUGCUGGUUACCUGCGCCAGGACGGAAAGACCCCAUGGAGCUUUACUCCAGCUUGAUACUGGGAUUCGAUACUGUAUGUACAGGAUAGGUGGGAGACGUUGAGCAUAGAACGCCAGUUUUAUGUGAGUCGCUGUUGGGAUACCACCCUUGCAGUAUUGGAUUUCUAACCUGCACCCAUGACCUGGGUGGGGGACAAUGUCUGGCGGGGAGUUUGACUGGGGCGGUCGCCUCCGAAAGGGUAUCGGAGGCGCUCAAAGGUUCCCUCAGAAUGGUUGGAAACCAUUCGAAGAGUGCAAAGGCAGAAGGGAGCUUGACUGCGACACCGACGGGUGGAGCAGGUACGAAAGUAGGACUUAGUGAUCCGGUGGUAUAAAGUGGGAUUGCCAUCGCUCAACGGAUAAAAGCUACCCUGGGGAUAACAGGCUUAUCACUCCCAAGAGUUCACAUCGACGGAGUGGUUUGGCACCUCGAUGUCGGCUCAUCGCAUCCUGGGGCUGUAGCAGGUCCCAAGGGUUGGGCUGUUCGCCCAUUAAAGCGGUACGCGAGCUGGGUUCAGAACGUCGUGAGACAGUUCGGUCCCUAUCCGGCGCGGGCGGAGGAUAUUUGAGAGGAGCUGUCCUUAGUACGAGAGGACCGGGAUGGACGGACCACUGGUGUAUCUGUUGGCUAUCAGAGCCAUGGCAGAGUAGCCAAGUCCGGCAGGGAUAAACGCUGAAGGCAUCUAAGCGUGAAGCCCCCCUCAAGAUGAGAUAUCCCAACGCAAGUUGUAAGACCCCUUGAAGACGACAAGGUAGAUAGGGCAGAGGUGGAAGUGCAGUAAUGCAUGGAGCUGACUGUUACUAAUCGGUCGAGGGCAUAACCAA